Molecule: non-coding RNA, 112 nt
Organism: Caenorhabditis elegans
Lineage: Eukaryota; Metazoa; Nematoda; Chromadorea; Rhabditida; Rhabditidae
Source: Ensembl
UAUUAAAAUAUUCAAAAGAUCUCAUAAAAUUGUGAGGGCGCAGACAUAAAAUACUAAUUGGAUGGCGUAUAGGCAAGAGUCUCUUGAAUUUUUGAAGAUGGGGUCACUAAUU